GUCGAGCGGACAGAUGGGAGCUUGCUCCCUGAUGUUAGCGGCGGACGGGUGAGUAACACGUGGGUAACCUGCCUGUAAGACUGGGAUAACUCCGGGAAACCGGGGCUAAUACCGGAUGGUUGUCUGAACCGCAUGGUUCAGACAUAAAAGGUGGCUUCGGCUACCACUUACAGAUGGACCCGCGGCGCAUUAGCUAGUUGGUGAGGUAACGGCUCACCAAGGCGACGAUGCGUAGCCGACCUGAGAGGGUGAUCGGCCACACUGGGACUGAGACACGGCCCAGACUCCUACGGGAGGCAGCAGUAGGGAAUCUUCCGCAAUGGACGAAAGUCUGACGGAGCAACGCCGCGUGAGUGAUGAAGGUUUUCGGAUCGUAAAGCUCUGUUGUUAGGGAAGAACAAGUGCCGUUCAAAUAGGGCGGCACCUUGACGGUACCUAACCAGAAAGCCACGGCUAACUACGUGCCAGCAGCCGCGGUAAUACGUAGGUGGCAAGCGUUGUCCGGAAUUAUUGGGCGUAAAGGGCUCGCAGGCGGUUUCUUAAGUCUGAUGUGAAAGCCCCCGGCUCAACCGGGGAGGGUCAUUGGAAACUGGGGAACUUGAGUGCAGAAGAGGAGAGUGGAAUUCCACGUGUAGCGGUGAAAUGCGUAGAGAUGUGGAGGAACACCAGUGGCGAAGGCGACUCUCUGGUCUGUAACUGACGCUGAGGAGCGAAAGCGUGGGGAGCGAACAGGAUUAGAUACCCUGGUAGUCCACGCCGUAAACGAUGAGUGCUAAGUGUUAGGGGGUUUCCGCCCCUUAGUGCUGCAGCUAACGCAUUAAGCACUCCGCC
Molecule: ribosomal RNA, 831 nt
Filed under: Bacillus subtilis
Lineage: Bacteria; Bacillati; Bacillota; Bacilli; Caryophanales; Bacillaceae
Description: bacterial SSU rRNA
Rfam family: Bacterial small subunit ribosomal RNA
Source: RNAcentral